UGUUCUGUGCUCUCCUUCUCUGCUCUCCUUCUCUGCUCUCUUCACAUUCUGAUCAAACCCUCCAUGUAUUAACAUGUACCUCCUUAUUACAAUGCAAAACUUUCAUUUAAUCCAGAUAUCCUUGGCCUGACGAGUAGCCUGUGGUAUACACCUCGCUUGGACAUUUAUCACUUCGAGAUUCUGCUUGUAUUGAAACACAUGUAGCCUGGAUCUUAUUCUACUCCAUUCUAUAAGUUUUGUGUGUGUGUGUGUGUGUGUGAAAGGCAAAUUGUGUGUGAACAGCUAUGUUACAUGGCAGUGAAACAUGGACUGUAACAGUUGAAGACAUGCAUAGUGUUGAAUGAAAUGAAGCUAGUAUGCUUCACUGGAUGUGCAAUAUCCAUGUGCAUGUUCGACAGAGUGUAAGCAUUUGAGAGGAAAGUUAGGCAUAAGAGGCAUCAGAUAUGGUGUACAAGAGAGAUGACUGUGCUGGUAUGGUCAUGUGAUGCAUAUAGAUGAGGACAAAUGUGUAAACAAGUGCCGGUUUCUAACUAUGGAUGGAACCUGUGGUAGAGGUAGACCCAGGAAGACAUGGGACAAGGUUGUGAAGCAUGAGCUUCAAACUUUGAGCCUCACAGAGGCAAUGAGUAGUGAUUGAGACCUUUGGCAAUGUCCUGCGCUUGAAAGGACAUAUGAAGCCAAGUGAAAUCAUGGUUGUAGUUGAUGCUGGUGUCACAUAACUGGCACACGUGCCAACCUUUCAAGUGUUGGGCCUCACAGAAGUAAUGACAGAGAGCUUUGGCAUUAUGUCAUGCUUAAAAAGAAGAGCCAUCAAGCCAAGUAAAAUUGCAUUCGUGGCAGAUACUGGUGUCCUGCAAAUGGCACCCAUGCUGGUAGCACGUAAAAGCACUCAUUACACUCUUGGAGGGGUUGGCAUUAGGGAAGGCAUCCAGCUAUAGAAAACCAUGCCAAAUCAGACUGGAGUCUAGUGCAGCUUUCCAGCCCUGGUCAAACUGUCCAACCCAUGCCAGCUUGGACAACAGACGCUAAAUGAUGAUGAUGAUGAUGAUGAUAUAUAUAUCAUCACUAUCAUCAUCAUUGUCGUUUAACAACUUUUUUUCCUGCUGGCAUGGGUUGGAUGGUCUGACCAGGGCUAGUGAGAAAGAAGACUGCACCAAACAUCUGUGUCUGUUUUGACAUGGUUUUUAUGUCUGGAUGCUCUUCCUAACUCUGACCACCCCCACAGAUUGGAUUGACUGCUUUUUAUGUGACACCAGCACAAGCAAAGUCAGUUUUGGCAAGGUUUUUACAGCUGGAUGCCCUUCCAAAUGGCAACCACUUUACAGUGUGAACUGGAUGCUUUUUAAGUGGCACCGGCACUGACAGGGUCAUCAAGUACCUUGCAAAACAAGAAUCCCUUGAGAAGGGUGGGGAAUUGGAGGAGGGGUUCUUGUGUCAAAUGAUGAAAUGUUAGAGAGACAGGAACAUGUACCUUGCUGUAGAGGAGGCACAAGAUUACCUGACCUGAGAGAUAGGGGAAGAGAGAGAGAGAGAGAGAGGUAACAAGAAAUAGAACAGAAACAGGUGUACUGCUGUAAAGGAGAGGUGUUUAUAUAUAUAUAUAUAUUGCUAUUUGUUUAUUUUCAGCAACCUCAUCACCAAACCCAUUCCUUCCUGGUUCACAGCAGCAACCAACCUCUAUGACACCCAGAACAAUUGUGGCAUCUGGAGAACAUCCUUGCAUUAAAAUAAGCUUAACAAUUGAUUCAAUUUCUAAUGCAUCUUUUACAGAUAAAAUCAAUUACAGAACUCAGUGGUUCUUUGGCCGCUUCUAUCAUUAAUAACUGAUAAAAGGCACCUACAAUAACAGGAACAGUUUUGGUUUUAAGAUGGCACUACCAGUUCAAGAUAAACUCUUCAGGUCAGACAGGCUUGUCUGAGGUGCAUGCAGAGAGGCAAAACCAUUCUGCAUGCUCUCGUUUAGUGUCCAGGCAUUGCUGACUUAUGGAGUUAUGUUGAACAGCUGCUGUCACGUGUGGGAUGGAUCCGUCUGUUGUCUGAGUCUGUAGUGAUGAUUGCACUGCCAUCCCAUUUCAAUCAGGCAAGUAAGGCAAUUUUCCUUUGCCUGGUGGCUAUGGCAAAAGUGGUUGUUUAAUGGGCAAGGUUGAAAGGCCUGAGGACAGAUACAUUCCUCUUUGGUAGAACUCUCAUUGACUUCCUCAAGUUUCACUUGAAAAGGAAAUUGAGGGUGGAGAGGGAAGUGCUGUCCUCGAGUGUGUUUAUUGAAAGGUGGCUGAAAGUUCCAAAAAUGGCAAGAGUGGAUGGUGUAGACCUGUGAGGUGGAGAGGGCACUUGCUCCCAGGGUUUCAUGGAAAUCUCGGACAGUGGGGUUCCUCGAUUAUCCCUAGAGGCCUUCCUGUAUCAUCCUUCCUGCCACUUUUUUUCUAAACCCUUGUAUGCUAUGCAUUUGUCCCUUCUUUUCCAGUGUAGACCAUGUAUACUUAAUAAUCUUUCUUUCUUUCCUUUUUUAUCAUUUCAUUCUAUGUAAACCCCAGCACUUUAUGUCUGUCUUUGUAUUACUCCCCUCAUCCUUCACACUUGUGGCAAAUAAAUGAAAGAAUUAUUAUUAUUAUUAAGACCAAAGUUGUUAGUAAGAAGGAAGAUAAAACUCUCUUUGUUUCAGGUAAAUGGCCCUGCUCCAUAUGUAAGGCCAAAGGAGUUGGAAGAAAUUCCAUGUGCUGCAUCCAGUGUAAACUAUGGGCAGUGGAAUCACAGGUAGAUUAAGAGAUAAAGUUGUCUUUGUAUGUGGCAGAUGUGCAGGAACAAUAAGCAAUAAGAGCACACAGGAACUAGAUUCUCUCAAAUGCCCAGGAGGUUCUCCUGAGGUUGUAGAUAGUUUCUGUUACCUAGGUGACCGAAUUAGUAAUGGUGGAGGAUGCUCUGAAAAUAUUGCUUCUAGAAUAAGAAUUGGGUGGAGGAAGUUCAGAGAGCCAUUACCUCUGUUGCCAACAAAAGGCCUCUCUCUCUCUCAGAGUGAAAGGUAGACUCUAUGAUGCUUGUGUUUGAACGGCUAUAUGUCAUGGCAGUGAGAUGGACUCUGUAUGCAUAAGAAAUGUGUUGACUGGAAAGAAAUUAUACUCCGUUGGAUGGGCAACAUCAGUGUGCAUAUGCAACAAAGUGCAAAUGUAUUGAGAGAAAAGUUGGGCCUAAGAGUCAAAUGUAGCUUGCAAGAGAGAAGACUGCAUUGGUUUGGACAUGUGAUGUGUAUGAAUGAGGACAGCUGCAUAAAGAAGUGCCAAUCACUGAAAGUGGACGGUGUCCAUGGAAGAGGGAGACCCUAGUUCUUCUGUCUAGCUUUGCUAUUUCACUUUUUGUCACAAAAGCUGCUAAGUAAAGAUACUGGCCAAGUAUUUACAACUUUCACUAGAUUCAGACCAUUUAGCUUUGACUUCAUUGGGUUCCUCACCCUUCUCAGUUUUUGUUUUCAUUUCUGUUGUUAGUUCCCUGUCAGAUCCUAAUACUCCGAGAUAGCUAUAACUCUCUCUUUCUUUUAAUGAUUUUUUUAUGUCUGGCCAUUUAGUAAUUGGAUGCCUUCUGGUCCUGGUCCCUUCCAAUUUAGCAUUCUUCCUAACACUUUACUCAUUAAUGCACUAGAUAAUCUUAGAUCUGGCUACUUCUUCCUUUGUUUUCUUUAACUACCCUGCAUCUCCUUUUGAUUGUCUGGCUUAUACCAAAUAUUAGUCCAGAACAUUCUAGCUUCUUCUGCAUUAGGGUCCUCAUCUUCAGUACUUUCUUCUCCUCUAUUUAUUUGGUUGUAAGAUCUCUUCUGGUCUGUCUCGAGUCAUUUAUUCUGUUGAUACUGAUCUGUUGUUUUCUGAUAUCUGGAGAGCUUGCCUGCUAUUUCUGUUACACACUGUUUCAACUCUUCUAUUACUGUCCCAAAUCCUUUCUCUCUGACUAAGUAUCUUUUCUCAAGAGAUUUGAAUCUUGUGUUUCCUAUCUUGUUCAGUUUCCAGGGUUUCUAUUCUACUCAGAUCUUGUCUUAAAGUCUUCUCCUUAUUUUGUAAUUUCCUUUUUCACACUUGCCUUUUUCUAAUCUUUUCUAGUGAGAUAUCUAAUCUUCUAGUAACUACUUCCCCUCCUGCAGAGAUCAAUAAGUUAGUGCCUUCUGUAUUUUUAGUAUCCAUCCUGCUGAUAACAGAAUCUACUUUCCUAGUCGUAUCUAGCAACAUCCUUCUAUCGGUACCUUUUAAUCCUGGCAAUCUUUUUCUUACUUCUUCUCUCAUUACUUCCUGUAACUCAUCUAAAAUCUUCUGAUCUUCCUCACUUAAAUCACUUAAGUCACUGGUGCCAGUUGUCCCUUUCUUAUUGUUAUUUUUUCCUUUAGCUUCUUCUUUGGUUUGAGAUGUAUCUCUUAUCUUUUAUGCUCUUGUUUGUCUUUCCUACUGCCUGGUCUUUCUUUUCCAGUUCUCUUGUGAUCUCUUCCACCUCCAAUUCCACUUUCUUUUCCUAUUAUCAUUAGCUUGAUCAACUAACUUCUGCUCAGUCACUUUAAACAUGCCCUUCUCUAUCCAAAGUAUUAACAUCCAUUUUCUAUAGCCCCUUCUUUUAGGUGCACUUUCUAAGUAGCACUACAUCACUACCCUGUUUUCUUUGCUGAUGCUGUCUUAGGAUAAGAGCUGUGGUUAAUCUGCAUCUUUACUAAACCACUACCAAGCAAGAGGCCUUCCCCUGAAGGUCCAACCUCAUUUUUACUGUUACAACCAGAGUUUCUACACAAACUCCUGUCUCUUAUAAACUGGGGUAAUGCAUUGCUCAUCAACAUCAUCAUCAUCAUUACUAGUACCAUUUGACAUCUGAUAGUUUCAAGUAAGUUUUUAUCGCAUCACUUGUAACAUUUUUUGUGCUGCAGAGGUGUGUGCAGCAUUGUGUUGUUGUUUUUUUUUGUCAAUGAGGGGGGGGGGGUAUUGCCUCAGUAUGUUUUGUUAUGGGGUUUGGACUAAGUCUUUUCUUGUAUUAGUGUUUGUAUUGUGUGUUGUGUGUGUAGUGUAGUUGUGUUCUUCUGAUGGUUACUGGGCCUCUUUUGUACAUGUUGGGCUUUGUUCAUUUUAUUGCACAUUUCUUGUAUGAGUUCAUUCCUGUGUGCUUUCGGGGAGUGUUGCAUUCGGGAAUAUGACUUAUAUCGUUUCAAUGGAGUCAUCGUCAUCUGUCCAUCAUUCUCUUCUGGUUUUGUUAAUCAUUUGGGCCGUGACUUCUGCACUGUCUGCAAAGAAGUGUGUGAUCUUGCAUUUUCAUAAUGAAAGAGAAUGCCCUUACUAUUAUUAGCAAGUGCUGGAUGUUUCUGAGGGAUCACCACCUUUAAUUUGUCCAUCUUGUCACAGUACACACCCAAACUGAUGGUCCUGUCCAUGGGAAGAAACUUCCUUCCAAUCCCACCAAAUUGUAAGUAUAACCUUCUUCGAGUGAACCCCUGCUUUGGAGGUUGGUUCUGGCAAUUCUUCACACUUCUCCCAUGAUUGUUUGUGCUUCACAUUGUUAUAGAUCACAGGUGUCAAACUGCAGGACCGUGGGCCACAUCUGGCCCGACACAUAAUUCUAUCCAAUCUGCGAGAGAAUUUUAGGCAUUUUGUAAUGGCUCCGGCAAUAUGAAAUGCAAACCACAAUUUCCCCAAUUUAGCAGCCUUGUUCAACGAAAGGCUGCCUGAGAGCCUUCUUGCAUCUAUCAGAACAAGUUAAAUGACAGUUGUGUAGUGCAUGAAUGUUUGUUAUCACAGUAACCUAGCAACAGGAUGUUGCUAGUUUUGGAUUGGUGCAUAAGAGAUGAAAGUAGUGUUGUGCCCAGAUAUUGCAUCACUCCUCCCCGCUUAUGCCAUAUCAAGCGCCUGUCUGUAGAUGCACGGUCUUAAUUUUAAAUCAAAGCCAAGAGAAAAGUUGAUUCUGAAAACAGGGCCUUCCAAAGCACUGGGAGGCUCAAUAUAUAUUUACCAAUAUUGGCUGUAAACCUGUGUGUCUGAUAUGUGGAGAUAAUGUGGCUGUGAUCAAGGAAUAUAAUCUAAGACAGCACUACAAGACUAAUCAUUGAGACAAAUUGCAAACUUUGAAUGCAGAACAGAAGCUAUAGAAGGUAGAAGGAAAGUAAUUUUGAGCUGUUUUACAACCCAUUUGCCAUCGACAUGGAAACUGCACCUGUUCAUUUUCAGAUGGAGCCCAUAGAGCUGUAGUGUAAUGGGGUGCAAAAGGCAUAGUAUGACAGUGAGGGGCCUGCACAGUUCACUCGUUUCAUUCCUAAAGAGACGCCCCAGCUUCGUCUACAUGCGGCUCAAAUCUUUAGCAUGUUUGGUAGCAGACAUCUGUGUGAACAGCUGUUCUCUGUGAUGAAGAUUAACAAAACAUCACACAGGAGUUGUCUCCCUGAUGAACAGCUUCUGUCCAUCCUGAGAAUCUCCGCAGCAUAGAACCUUAUUCCAUAAUAUAAACAAACUUGUUGCCAAAAAAUGAUGUCAAACAUCCAGCCCUAACAAACUGGAAUAAGAGCAAAAAUUGGUAUCCUUUCAUUUAAUAUUAUUUUAACUUUUGUCUGUUUUAACUCAAUGUUUAAAAAAGGUUUAGUUUCCCACUGUUUUAUGAAUGUUUAUCCAGUUUGGCCCACAACCUUAAAUGUGGUUUUAGAGUUUUGAUCCCCUACGUGAUUGACUUUGACACCCCUAUUAUAGACCAUCCAUUUUUUUUUGGGGUCUCCUGUCAUAAUUUCUAAUUUCUCAUUUGAUAAGAGGGAUAGAAUGGAAUGGAAAUCCUUUUUUUCCCCUUCUGGAGCAUAGGGCCAGUUUCCCGGUUUCCAUGGCAUAUGUGUUCCUGCCUAGCUGGACGGGACGCCAGUCCAUCGCAGCUUUUUAUUCAAGAAACAGGAAGAAAGAGUGAGAGAAAGUUGGGGCGAAAGAGUACAACAGGGGUCACCACCACCCUCUGCUAGAGCCUCGUGGAGCUUUUAGGUGUUUUCUCUCAAUAAACACACACAACGCUCAGUCUGGCAAUCGAAACACCGAUCCUCCGACCGUGAGUCCGCUGCCCUAACCACUGAGCCAUUGCGCCUCCACGAUAAGGGGGAUAUAACAUGAUAUUUUGAUUAAUGUUUUAAUUACUGAUUUGAACAUCAUAUGGUUGUAUCCUUAACAACAUUCUUUGCAGUCUUGGAGGUGCUUGUACAGUGUUUUUGCUUUCUCUAUUUUCCAAUUCCUUGUGGUCUGAUUCGGUUUGGAACUUUUUCUCAUUCACAUAUGGAUGAAAUUUUUCCCAACCAAACUAUUUCCUUCCAUCUGCCAACUGGAAUUCAGUUGGUGAAAUUUUUAUAUUGUACAACAGAAAAAUAAUCUAUUUUCAUAAGUUUUAAGAUAGUUGUGUUACAAAAUAUCAUCACCAUCAUCAUCCUUUAACAUCCAUUGUCCAUGCUGGCAUGGGUUGGACGGUUUGACCAGGGCUGGUAAGUUUGAAGGCCUUCACCAGCCCCCAGUCUGAUUUGGCAUGUUUUCUACAGCUGGAUGCCCUUCCUAACACCAACCACUCCGAGAGUGUAAUGGGUGCUUUUACAUGCCACUAGCAUGGGUGCCAUUUGUGUGACACUGGUAUCUGCCAUGACUGUGAUUUUGCUCAGUGUGAUGGGUCUUCUGAAGCAUGACAUAAUGCCAAAGGUCUUGGUCAUUGCCUCCCUCAGACCCAACGCUCAAAAGGAACUCAGCCACCCUGCCUCCAUGAGGCCCAACGCUCAAAAGGAACUCAGUCAC
Octopus bimaculoides (California two-spot octopus) is the source of this 7757-nucleotide long non-coding RNA. NCBI's taxonomy places the organism in Eukaryota, Metazoa, Mollusca, Cephalopoda, Octopoda, Octopodidae. The record is from RefSeq and is a predicted model, not a curated record.